RNAcentral lists this ribosomal RNA (278 nucleotides) under uncultured bacterium. RNAcentral's name for it is "partial 16S ribosomal RNA". The record is from RNAcentral.
CUGCUGCCUCCCGUAGGAGUCUGGUCCGUGUCUCAGUACCAGUGUGGGGGACCUUCCUCUCAGAACCCCUACGCAUCGUCGCCUUGGUGGGCCGUUACCCCGCCAACUAGCUAAUGCGACGCAUGACCAUCCGUAGCCGGAAUCGCUUCCUUUAAACCCGAGGAGAUGCCUCCUCGGGUUGUUACGCGGUAUUAGACGGAAUUUCUUCCGCUUAUCCCCCUGCUACGGGCAGGUUUCAUACGUGUUACUCACCCGUGCGCCGGUCGCCGGCGGGAGUA